Molecule: ribosomal RNA, 253 nt
Filed under: uncultured bacterium
Lineage: Bacteria
Description: partial 16S ribosomal RNA
Rfam family: Bacterial small subunit ribosomal RNA
Source: RNAcentral
UACGUAGGUGGCAAGCGUUGUCCGGAUUUACUGGGCGUAAAGAGCGCGCAGGCGGUCGUUCAAGUCGCGUGUGAAAGCCCCCGGCUCAACUGGGGAGGGUCACGCGAUACUGAUCGACUCGAAGGCAGGAGAGGGUAGUGGAAUUCCCGGUGUAGUGGUGAAAUGCGUAGAUAUCGGGAGGAACACCAGUGGCGAAAGCGGCUACCUGGCCCAUUCUUGACGCUGAGGCGCGAAAGCUAGGGGAGCAAACGGG